This 497-nucleotide ribosomal RNA is filed under the name uncultured bacterium. RNAcentral's name for it is "partial 16S ribosomal RNA". It matches the Rfam family "Bacterial small subunit ribosomal RNA", at positions 28 to 507 of the family's 1533-position model. The record is from RNAcentral.
GACGAACGCUGGCGGCGUGCCUAAUACAUGCAAGUUGAGCGCCGAAGGUUGGUACUUGUAUUUACUGGAUGAGCAGCGAACGGGUGAGUAACGCGUGGGGAAUCUGCCUUUGAGCGGGGGACAACAUCUGGAAACGAAUGCUAAUACCGCAUAAAAACUUUAAACACAAGUUUUAAGUUUGAAAGAUGCAAUUGCAUCACUCAAAGAUGAUCCCGCGUUGUAUUAGCUAGUUGGUGAGGUAAAGGCUCACCAAGGCGAUGAUACAUAGCCGACCUGGGAGGGUGAUCGGCCACAUUGGGAAUGAGACACGGCCCAAGCUCCUACGGGAGGGAGCAGUAGGGAAUCUUCGGCAAAGGGCGAAAGUCUGACCGAGCAAAGCCGCGGGAGUGAAGAAGGGUUUCGGAUCGUAAAACUCUGUUGGUAGGGAAGGACGUUGGUGAGGGUGAAAAGCUCAUCAAGUGACGGUAACUACACAGAAAGGAACGGCUAACUACGUG